UAUAGAGGGUCUAUACAAGGGCGAUGUACUUGAGGACAAUAUUAUGGAAAUGGAAGAGGAUGUACGUGAAGAUGAAUUUGGAGAUACGAUAUUGCGUGAAGAGUUUGACAGAGCACUGAAAGACCUGAGUCGAAACAAGACCGUGGCAGUAGACAACAUUCCAUUAGAACUACUGACAGCCUUGGGAGAGCCAGUCCUGACAAAACUCUACCAUCUGGUGAGCAAGAUGUAUGAGACAGGCGAAAUUCCCUCAGACCUCAAGAAGAAUAUAAUAAUUCCAAUCCCAAAGAAAACAGGUGUUGACAGAUGUGAAAAUUACCAAACUAUCAGUUUAAUAAGUCACAGCUGCAAAAUAUUAACGAGAAUUCUUUACAGACAAAUGGAAAAACUAGUAGAAGCCAACCUCGGGGAAGAUCGGUUUGGAUUCCGUAGAAAUGUUGGAACACGUGAGGCAAUACUGACCCUACGACUUAUCUUAGGAGCUAGAUUAAGGAAGUGCAAACCUACGUUUCUAGCAUUUGUAGACUUAGAGAAAGCUUUUGACAACGUUGACUGGAAUACUCUCUUUCAAAUUCUAAAGGUGGCAGGGGUAAAAUACAGAGAGAGAAAGGCUAUUUACAAUUUGUACAAAAACCAGAUGGCAGUUAUAAGAGUCGAGGGACAUGAAAGGGAAGCAGUGGUUGGGAAGGGAGUGAGACAGGGUUGUAGUCUCUCCCCAAUGUUAUUCAAUCUGUAUAUUGAGCAAGCAGUGAAGGAAAGAAAAGAAAAAUUCGAGUAGGUAUUAAAAUCCAUAGAGAAGAAAUAAAAACUUUGAGGUUUGCCGAUGACAUCGUAAAUCUGGCAGAGACAGCAAAGGACUUGGAAUAGCAGUUGAACAGAAUGGACAGUGUCUUGAAAGGAGGGUAUAAGAUGAACAUCAACAAAAGCAAAACGAGGAUAACGGAAUGUAGUCGAAUUAAGUCGAGUAAUGCUGAGGGAAUUAGAUUAGGAAAUGAGACACUUAAAGUAGUAAAGGUGUUUUGAUAUUUGGGGAGCAAAAUAACUGAUGAUGAUCGAAGUAGAGAGGAUAUAAAAUGCAGACUGGCAAUGGCAAGGAAAGCGUUUCUAAAGAAGAGAAAUUUGUUAACAUUGAGCAUAGCUUUAAGUGUCAGGAAGUCGUUUCUGAAAGUAUUUGUAUGGAGUGUAGCCAUGUAUGGAAGUGAAACAUGGACGAUAAAUAGCUUGGACAAGAAGAGAAUAGAAGCUUUCGAAAUGUGGUGCUGCAGAAGAAUGCUGAGGAUUAGAUGGGUGGAUCACAUAACUAAUGAGGAAGUAUUGAAUAGGAUUGGGGAGAAGAGAAGUUUGUGGCACAACUUGACCAGAAGAAGGGAUCGGUUGGUAGGACAUGUUCUGAGGCAUCAAGGGAUCACCAAUUUUGCAUUGGAGGGCAGCGUGGAGGGUAAAAAUUGUAGAGAGAGACCAAGAGAUGAAUACACUAAGCAGAUUCAGAAGGAUGUAGGUUGCAGUAGGUACUGGGAGAAGAGGAAGCUUGCACAGGAUAGAGUAGCAUGGAGAGCAGCAUCAAACCAGUCUCAGGACUGAAGACCACAACAACAAUGGCAGAUAUAAAAAAGGUUUACAAAAUAGUUGUUUCUGUAAUUGUGAUCUCUGACAAAAGGAGAUUUAAGUGGACUGUACCAGUUAAAAAUAUCAGAAGUGAGGAAGAUUUGGUCGUAAAGAAGGUCGUAAAGCAGUGACAAGUGAAUAUAGGGACAGCGGUAGUCAUUAUUGUUGCUUCAGCAGAUAUGUCAUCAACUGUCUUUUGAAACUGGACAUGUUAUUCAGGUCUCUAAUAUAAAUGAGGUUUUGAGACAGUGACUGAGUGAGGAAGUGGGGUAGAAAUGAUUUUGCUAUGAUGGGAACAGGUGUUUCUGUCAUGUUGUUCAGACAAGAGCAUUAAGGUCAAAGAGAGAUAUGAGGGUCAGUGUGUGUUGAUAAGACAAGAGAGGAGAUAGGGUGCAUGGAAAUCUUUGCAUACAGCCAGGAUAGCUAUGCAUAUAAUGGUGAAAUAUGAUGUAAGAGAUGAACGUCACAGAUAUAUUGAACACAGCAUUCAUAACCAAUUCCAGGUGCCAUGAGCUAUCCUGAAAAAGACCUCGUAGGAUAACAUCACUGUAAUCAAUAAUUGCAAGUACUAGUGUUACACAACUUCCUUUUUCAGGUCAAAAGGAAAGAGCUUUGUAUAUUUUUGUAGGGCAUGGAGAGAUGCUGAUGCCUUCUUGCACAUCACAGUUGCAUGCUCAGUCCAGAUUUGACUUAAAUAGUCUCUUUUCUGAAGGAGAGAGGUUGAUAUUUGUUUCCUUUAGGAUUAAAGGUCGUAGGAAAUCCUGAUUCUUUCAGCUAAUGAGCUUAGAAUGACCAGCCAGCACUGCUUGGAUCUUGUAUAGGUUGAGCUUUAACACUAUAUUCUGUGCCCAAUGCUCAGCUUGAUUAUAAGAAGGAGUCAGAUGACAGGACACAUACUGAGGAUUCUGGGAACCAUUAAUGUGAUAAAGGAGGGAAGCAUUGGGUAAAAAUUCUAGAUGGAAACACGGUUUCGGUACAGCAAGCAGACAGAAGUGAAUGUAGGGUGUACAGACUUGCACAGGAUAGCAACAAUUUAGCUCAUGCACUACAACCUCCUUCAGUCCUGUCAUGAGCAUUUCCUACCCCACCAAUAUACUUACAACUUACCUGCAACCACUAUGUGGCAUUUUCUGUGGGUAUGACCAUUAAUAAGCUGUCUGUAUUCCUACUGGCCAAAUUGUGGCUGAAAGACAAUUGAUGCACCCAAUUACCGAGCAUAGCAGGCAACACAGUAUGCUCUACUUCAAUGACUGCUUCACAGCCCAAGCCAUCUGGUUUCUUCCCACCAACAUUUCUGAAAUGGACAUGUGGGAACUCUCUCUGUAAAAUAUCCUUUAUUCCUAUAACAUAUUUUCUCCCUCCCUCCCCAUCUACCCCCUGGCCUCAACCUUUGCUAGUCCCUCUGUCUGCAUCAAUAUUACUUCAGUAUCAAAUAUGCACCCCAGCAAUUUUUUUCCACUUGGCUAUUUCUCUCCUCUACCACUGUUAACAUCAAGUAUAGAUUUAAGUGUCAGGAAGUCUUUUCUCAAAGUAUUUGUACAGAGUGCAGCAAUGUAUGGAUGUGAAAUGUGGACGAUAAAUAGUUUAGACAAGAAGAGAAUAGAAGCAUUCAAUAGAUCAUGUAACAAAUGAGGAGGCACUGAAUUGAACUGGGGAUAAGAGAAAUUUGUAGCACAAUUUAUCUCGAAGAAGGGAUCGGUUGGUAGAACAUGUUCUGAGGCAUCAAGGGAUCACCAAUUUAGUAUUGGAGGGUGGCGUGGCGGGUAAAAAUCAUAGAGGGAGAGCAGGAGAUGAAUACACUAAGCAGAUUCAGAAGGAUGUAGGGUGCAGUAAUUACUUGGUAAUGAAGAAGUUUGCACAGGAUAGAGUAGUGUGGAGAGCUGCAAUAAAUCAGUCUCUGUACUGAAGACCACAACACAACACCACUGCCUCUUCCCCUACCUCCCCAGUGAUGCUGGAGUCCCUAUUAUCCCUGUCGUCUCCCCCCCCCCUCCUCCCCCCCCAAAUAUUGUCUCUUUUGUGCCUGUCACUGCUCAGUGCCUCUCCUAUGUAGUGAGAGUAGUAAUCUAUCACACUGGAAAACAUAUUUGGAAAUGGAUCAGAGUUUUAUGCUUCAAUAAUGUCAUCACAUUUCUCAUACAGAAUGGUCUUCACUUAAAAUUGAUAGUACAUGUAUCAUUUUUCAAGUAUUAAAUAUUAAGGAAGAGCAAAUCAGAUAUUCAGAACAGUUUUUAUUUGACUGUGAACAAGAUUUGUACUUGUGUCUUACAACUGAGACCACUACGUGACACCAUCUACAUAUGACAGCAUUAUGCAUUUGGUGUCACUUUUAGACAUGAAAAUUUAAAUAGUGCAGUGAAAUAUACUCCUAACUUUACAUGAAACAUACAGGUACAUAAAUUACAAUGACUAAAAUAAAUCAAGACCUGAAAAAUGCUACUGUGUUCAACUGCCAUGUAAACAAUUUACACCAAUGUUGAGUCAUCCAAUAAGUGCAUAUAAAAGUGUAAUUUAUGAUACAGCA
Long non-coding RNA from Schistocerca gregaria, 4129 nucleotides. RefSeq lists it as uncharacterized. The record is from RefSeq and is a predicted model, not a curated record. NCBI's taxonomy places the organism in Eukaryota, Metazoa, Arthropoda, Insecta, Orthoptera, Acrididae. The transcript is spliced from 2 exons.